UACGAAGGGGGCUAGCGUUGCUCGGAAUUACUGGGCGUAAAGCGCACGUAGGCGGCUUUCUAAGUCGGGGGUGAAAUCCUGGAGCUCAACUCCAGAACUGCCUUCGAUACUGGAAAGCUCGAGUCCGGGAGAGGUGAGUGGAACUGCGAGUGUAGAGGUGAAAUUCGUAGAUAUUCGCAAGAACACCAGUGGCGAAGGCGGCUCACUGGCCCGGUACUGACGCUGAGGUGCGAAAGCCAGGGGAGCGAACGGG
Molecule: ribosomal RNA, 253 nt
Filed under: uncultured bacterium
Lineage: Bacteria
Description: partial 16S ribosomal RNA
Rfam family: Bacterial small subunit ribosomal RNA
Source: RNAcentral